GACUACUCUGUUCGGAGCAGGAAGAGUUGGCGUUGGUUUAUUGUGACGUCCCCAGAGUGAAGCCUCCACCACACAGCCAGGCUGAGCACACCUAGCCUGUAUCAACAGUGGAGAAACAGAUCUGCCUUCUUACUGUUCCAAUGGAUUAGUGUUGAGACUGCCCAGGCUGUAGAUAUCGAACUUAUACAGGUAACUUAUACAGGUAUCCUGACAAAGCACUGGAAAUACUUUAGCAAUUUUGGUAUCAAUACUGUUUUUGAAAGACACUUGUUGUCUCCCCAAUUGUGCUAAAAUGUACUAAAAAGCAGCGCAGAAACGUAGAUGCAUUCAGACUGAACACCCAUCAAAUCAGCUGUGACUGAAGUGGCUUACAAACAAUUUUGGAGCUUAGCAUUGAGCAAUCUUAACAUCUCUUGUCACGCUGAUUUAAAAUGCUUUGGGGGCUGAGCUAAUUCCGGUUCGAUCCUAUCUGAGGAAAUCCAUCGCAGACCAGUUGAGGAAACAAGAAGGAGGAAUCACAUCAUCUGAGGAAAUACGUUCAACAGGAUCAUGCCUACAGGGAAGGGGAAAGAAACACCAGAUCUUUUGUGUCUCUUCAACUCAUUUGGAACGUAGAAGGACUGUGCUUUGUGUCAUUGUAACAGAGUAACUUCACCUUAAUGCUUUUAAGGUCCAUGUAAUAUUUAACUUUCUAAAAUACAUUCUAGUAGUUGACAUUAU
This is a long non-coding RNA of Hypomesus transpacificus, 720 nucleotides long. RefSeq lists it as uncharacterized. Lineage: Eukaryota; Metazoa; Chordata; Actinopteri; Osmeriformes; Osmeridae. The record is from RefSeq and is a predicted model, not a curated record. The transcript has 3 exons.